UACGAAGGGUGCAAGCGUUACUCGGAAUUACUGGGCGUAAAGCGUGCGUAGGUGGUGAGUUAAGUCUGUCGUGAAAGCCCCGGGCUCAACCUGGGAAUGGCGAUGAAUACUGCCGCGGCUGGAGCACUGUAGAGGCAGGCGGAAUUCCGGGUGUAGCGGUGGAAUGCGUAGAGAUCCGGAAGAACACCGGUGGCGAAGGCGGCCUGCUGGGCAGUUGCUGACACUGAGGCGCGAAAGCGUGGGGAGCAAACAGG
This 254-nucleotide ribosomal RNA is filed under the name uncultured bacterium. RNAcentral's name for it is "partial 16S ribosomal RNA". It matches the Rfam family "Bacterial small subunit ribosomal RNA", at positions 524 to 776 of the family's 1533-position model. The record is from RNAcentral.